Papio anubis (olive baboon) is the source of this 103-nucleotide non-coding RNA. NCBI's taxonomy places the organism in Eukaryota, Metazoa, Chordata, Mammalia, Primates, Cercopithecidae. The record is from Rfam.
GGCUGGUCUGAAGGUAGUAAGUUAUCUCGAUCGUUCAGUCACAGGUCUAACUGCUUAUUCUACUCUUUCCUCUCUUCUCACUACUGCAUUUGACUAAUCUUAA